CUACGGGAUGCACCAGUGGGGAAUAUUGCACAAUGGGCGCAAGCCUGAUGCAGCAACGCCGCGUGAAGGAUGAAGGCCUUCGGGUCGUAAACUUCUGUCCUUGGGGAAGAAACAAAUGACGGUACCCAUGGAGGAAGCCCCGGCUAACUACGUGCCAGCAGCCGCGGUAAUACGUAGGGGGCAAGCGUUAUCCGGAAUUAUUGGGCGUAAAGAGUGCGUAGGUGGUUACCUAAGCGCAGGGUUUAAGGCAAUGGCUCAACUAUUGUUCGCCCUGUGAACUGGGCUACUUGAGUGCAGGAGAGGAAAGCGGAAUUCCUAGUGUAGCGGUGAAAUGCGUAGAUAUUAGGAGGAACACCAGUGGCGAAGGCGGCUUUCUAGACUGUUACUGACACUGAGGCACGAAAGCGUGGGGAGCAAACAGGAUUAGAUACCCCGGUAGUC
Molecule: ribosomal RNA, 441 nt
Filed under: uncultured bacterium
Lineage: Bacteria
Description: partial 16S ribosomal RNA
Rfam family: Bacterial small subunit ribosomal RNA
Source: RNAcentral